This 253-nucleotide ribosomal RNA is filed under the name uncultured bacterium. Its description in RNAcentral is "partial 16S ribosomal RNA". It matches the Rfam family "Bacterial small subunit ribosomal RNA", at positions 524 to 776 of the family's 1533-position model. The record is from RNAcentral.
UACGUAGGGGGCUAGCGUUGUCCGGAAUCAUUGGGCGUAAAGAGCGUGUAGGCGGUCCGGUAAGUCCGCUGUGAAAGUCGGGGGCUCAACCCUCGAAUGCCGGUGGAUACUGUCGGGCUAGAGUGCGGAAGAGGCGAGUGGAAUUCCUGGUGUAGCGGUGAAAUGCGUAGAUAUCAGGAGGAACACCGGUGGCGAAGGCGGGUCUCUGGGCCGAUACUGACGCUGAGGAGCGAAAGCGUGGGGAGCGAACAGG